UGCCAGCCGCCGCGGUAAUACGGAGGGUGCAAGCGUUGUUCGGAAUUAUUGGGCGUAAAGCGCGUGUAGGCGGUCUGUUAAGUCUGAUGUGAAAGCCCGGGGCUCAACCCCGGAAGUGCAUUGGAUACUGGCAGACUUGAGUACGGGAGAGGGAAGUGGAAUUCCGAGUGUAGGAGUGAAAUCCGUAGAUAUUCGGAGGAACACCGGUGGCGAAGGCGACUUUCUGGCUCGUAACUGACGCUGAGGCACGAAAGCGUGGGGAGCAAACAGGAUUAGAUG
RNAcentral lists this ribosomal RNA (279 nucleotides) under uncultured bacterium. RNAcentral's name for it is "partial 16S ribosomal RNA". It matches the Rfam family "Bacterial small subunit ribosomal RNA", at positions 506 to 784 of the family's 1533-position model. The record is from RNAcentral.